Molecule: ribosomal RNA, 264 nt
Filed under: uncultured bacterium
Lineage: Bacteria
Description: partial 16S ribosomal RNA
Rfam family: Bacterial small subunit ribosomal RNA
Source: RNAcentral
GUCCACGCCCUAAACGAUGUCAACUGGGUGUUGGGGAAGCGAUUCCUUGGUACCGUAGCUAACGCGUGAAGUUGACCGCCUGGGGAGUACGGCCGCAAGGUUAAAACUCAAAGGAAUUGACGGGGACCCGCACAAGCGGUGGAUGAUGUGGAUUAAUUCGAUGCAACGCGAACAACCUUACCUACCCUUGACAUGUCCGGAACCCUGCUGAGAGGUGGGGGUGCCCGAAAGGGAAUCGGAACACAGGUGCUGCAUGGCUGUCGU